UGGGGUGUAGCUCACUGGUAGAGUGCAAGGCUCUGGGUUCAAUUCCCAGUACCACAA
RNAcentral lists this transfer RNA (57 nucleotides) under Fukomys damarensis (Damara mole-rat). It matches the Rfam family "tRNA". From Rfam's summary of the family: Transfer RNA (tRNA) molecules are approximately 80 nucleotides in length. Their secondary structure includes four short double-helical elements and three loops (D, anti-codon, and T loops). Further hydrogen bonds mediate the characteristic L-shaped molecular structure. tRNAs have two regions of fundamental functional importance: the anti-codon, which is responsible for specific mRNA codon recognition, and the 3' end, to which the tRNAs corresponding amino acid is attached (by aminoacyl-tRNA synthetases). tRNAs cope with the degeneracy of the genetic code in two manners: having more than one tRNA (with a specific anti-codon) for a particular amino acid; and 'wobble' base-pairing, i.e. permitting non-standard base-pairing at the 3rd anti-codon position. Lineage: Eukaryota; Metazoa; Chordata; Mammalia; Rodentia; Bathyergidae. The record is from Rfam by way of RNAcentral.